This 531-nucleotide ribosomal RNA is filed under the name Triticum aestivum (bread wheat). RNAcentral describes it as "partial small subunit ribosomal RNA". The record is from RNAcentral. Lineage: Eukaryota; Viridiplantae; Streptophyta; Magnoliopsida; Poales; Poaceae.
AUGAGCUUAUUUAGCCAGGAAUCAAGACGUGAUUUCUGUCUAACACACAACAGCUUGAUUGAGCUAGCUAUCAUGUCUACACCAAAUGUUUUGUCGUGUGACAUGGCAGAGAAAACUGACCAGCUCAUGUAUUCCGCUUCGGCUCCACCUCAAGGUUCAGGGCGGCACUGGCCUUGCAUGGAACGUUGCUGCAAGCUUCGUCAACAUGCUCUCGAGGGCUUGGUCCGCCAUGAUUGUCUCGUUGAACAUCUCCAAUGGCUCCUCUGUUAUCGUGCUGGUGCCCACGCGGAUGGCAUCGACGACGCCACCACGCAUCCCAUCCUCUGCACUUCCUCCAGGGUUUGGGUGUGCUGUGCGGUGUCAAACCCAACAAACCUGUGCACCCUCUCUGCCACGUCGAAUUUUUCUGCUUCUCUCGUCCAUGCAACGCCUCUCUCCUUAGCAGCACUUGGAGUCGAGGUGGUCUUUCGAUCAGUUUCGAAAUUCUGGACUCAAAACAUUGUCGCUCGUGAAGAAAACUAUAGGAAAUAG